AGUGAACGCUGGCGGUAGGCCUAACACAUGCAAGUCGAACGGCAGCACGGUAAGAGCUUGCUCUUACGGGUGGCGAGUGGCGUACGGGUGAGGAAUCCAUCGGAAUCUACUUUUUCGUGGGGGAUAACGUAGGGAAACUUACGCUAAUACCGCAUAUGACCUACGGGUGAAAGCAUGGGAUCUUCGGACCUUGCGCGAUUGAAUGAGUCGAUGUCGGGUUUGCUAGUUGGCGGGGUAAAGGCCUAGCAAGGCGAUGAUCCGUCGCGGGUCUGAGAGGGUGGGAGGGCACACUGGAACUGGGACACGGUCCAGACCACUCUGGGACGGGACGGUGCGGAAUAUUGGACAAUGGACGGAGGCCUAAGCCAGCCAAACCGCGUGGGUUAAGAAGGGGUUCCGUUUGGAUAGCCCUUUUGUUGGGAGAGAAAAGCAGCAGGUGUAUAUCCGGCUGUGUUGACGGUACCUAGAGAAUAAGCGCCGGCUAACUUCGUG
This 492-nucleotide ribosomal RNA is filed under the name uncultured bacterium. RNAcentral describes it as "partial 16S ribosomal RNA". It matches the Rfam family "Bacterial small subunit ribosomal RNA", at positions 29 to 507 of the family's 1533-position model. The record is from RNAcentral.